AAAGAACCCUAAGCUUGCAAUCAGAAGGACCCAGUUCAAGUCCUAGUGUUUUCCUCUUGCCAGCUAUGUAAAAUUGGACUAUGCCUUAUCCUUUCUGAGUUUCAUUUUCCUUGUUAUUAAAAUAGAGGUGAUACUUCAACUUCCUACUUAAAUAGAAUCUCAGGAUCAAAGGAGUGCCUUCUCUGCCCAUGACUUACAUUUUCCUACAAAUGAUGAAAUUUGUUGGCAUUUAUUGAGUGAUUUUUGCAUGUGAAAAAGGAUGUACCAAAGGUAAAUUUUCUUGAAAACAUUUAACUAAGGAGGCUUUUAACAUAAUUUCUCUUAUUUAAGAGAGAAUGAUUAUUACUACAGUAUACUGAACUGAAAGGCUUUGAAAUACAUUUCAGUAGAAACUAAUGACUCUUUCCUUUCAGUAUCUUUGUCACAAUUAAGAUUGAGCAAAAGUUCAUGUCAGCGAGGAAUUGUUCAAGCUACUAAAUUUUGCUUUAUUUGAAUGCAACCAAAACGUCUCAUAUAUCUCUUGAAGGUUAUUUUAAUUCUCCAUUUUCCAUCAUCCAAAAUCCUGAAUGAAGACUCAAAGAGACAUGGUGUCUUUUAGAAUUUUACUGCUCAGCAGCUUUAUGGCACAAAAAACAUUUUUAUCACCACCAACUGGCUCAGGAAUCUGAAACUAAGCUGCAGCGGUAGGAACAGAGACCUAACUCGCAGGCAGUCUUGAGUCUUAAGGAAAACAGAAAGAAACAAACCCCAAAAUCUAAAAAAUAAAUAAAGGCAAAAACAAUUUCA
RNAcentral lists this long non-coding RNA (786 nucleotides) under Monodelphis domestica (gray short-tailed opossum). RNAcentral's name for it is "lncRNA (ENSMODG00000046275.1)". Lineage: Eukaryota; Metazoa; Chordata; Mammalia; Didelphimorphia; Didelphidae. The record is from RNAcentral.